GAGGUAUCGAUAUCUCGAGCACAUCAUCAGGAGGAGCUACACUUUCAGGCCGCACAGAUUAUCCGCAGCGCAUCGCAAAAUCAGACGACAAGAUGCAGAUGGUACUGGUGAUAUCGCUGCCCCUGGUGGCGCUGGUCAUCAUCAUCGCCGUCAUCCUCUGCAUCAUCUGCCGUUAGGUUAACCAGCUGGCCGUUCGCCGGAAGGACGGACGGACGGGUUCCACGCCAUAUCAUGUAGUCGUCUCGUAGCCGUGUUUGUUGUGUGAUUUAUACGUACAUUUUUCUUUCUUUCUUCUAGCUUGAUUAUCGACGUGAAAUGUAUUGCCGAUUGAUCCAUGUGUGCGUGUGGAGUGCGGUAGCGCGUGCUACCGUUGUUUAAUGUAAAGCUCUCUACGGAUUUCUCCGAUUC
This is a long non-coding RNA of Lolium rigidum, 408 nucleotides long. RefSeq lists it as uncharacterized. The transcript has 2 exons. NCBI's taxonomy places the organism in Eukaryota, Viridiplantae, Streptophyta, Magnoliopsida, Poales, Poaceae. The record is from RefSeq and is a predicted model, not a curated record.